AAUUCCGGAAACGAGCGCCAACCCUNNCCUUAUUNGCCACAAAUGGGGGUAGUCCCCAGNGAGCCGCCGUUAAUAAACCAGAAGAGGGUGGGGAAGNNGNNAAGUCCUCAUGCCCCUUACGAGUAGGGAUACACACGUGAUACNAUGGCGCAUACAGAGGGCGGCCAACUNGNGAAAGUGAGCGAAUCCCAAAAAGUGCGUUGUAGUCCGGAUUGGAGUCCGCAACUCGACUCCAUGAAGUCGGAAUCGCUAGUAAUCGUGGAUCAGAAUGCCACGGUGAAUACGUUCCCGGGCCUUGUACACACCGCCCGUCACACCAUGGGAGUGGGCUGCAAAAGAAGUGGGUAGUUUAACCUUGGGGAGGACGCUCCCCACUUUGUGGUUCAAGAGUGGGGUGAAGUAGUAACAAGAUCCGAGAAGGGAAUUCAGCNCACAUGGCGCGCC
Molecule: ribosomal RNA, 444 nt
Filed under: uncultured bacterium
Lineage: Bacteria
Description: partial 16S ribosomal RNA
Rfam family: Bacterial small subunit ribosomal RNA
Source: RNAcentral